UCCAGAACCAAGUACUACCUAAUCAUGAGUUCCCACCAGCAGAAGCAGCCUUGCACUGUACCCCCUCAGCUGCACCAGCAGCAGGUGAAACAGCCUUGCCAGCCACCACCCCAGGAACCUUGUGCUCCCAAAACUAAGGAGCCCUGUCACCCUAUUCCUGAGCCCUGCAACCCCAAGGUGCCAGAGCCCUGCCAGCCUAAGGUGCCAGAGCCUUGUCAACCUAAGGUGCCAGAGCCUUGCCAGCCUAAGGUGCCAGAGCCUUGCCAGCCUAAGGUGCCAGAGCCUUGCCAGCCUAAGGUGCCAGAGCCCUGCCAGCCUAAGGUGCCAGAGCCCUGCCAUCCCAAGGCACCUGAGCCCUGCCACCCUGUUGUUCCCGAGCCCUGCCAGCCUGUUGCUCCUGAGCCCUGCCAGCCUGUUGUUCCUGAACCCUGCCCCCCAACUGUCACUCCAUCACCAUACCAGCAGAAGACAAAGCAGAAGUAAUAUUGUCCAUAGCCAAGCCUGAAGAUCUGAUCACCAGAUGCUGAGGCUGCUUUCCAUCCUGCUUAUGAGUCCCAUUGCCUUGUGCUACACAUGCUGUGACCUCCAGUCUUAAUCCUCCAUCCUUGCACCACCUAAAAAGUUGUCUCUCAUCCUCAUCCUCAAGAGUUCUCGAGCCACUCAACAUUACCCAAAGUCUCAUUGAAUGGCUAAUCUUUCCAUGGCUCAGGAUUCAUCUGAAUGGGGGUGGGGAAUAAGACAAGUAUAUGUUCAAUAUUCUUCCCCUCAUUAAACACCUUUUAACUCCAUACCUGG
This 795-nucleotide long non-coding RNA is filed under the name Rattus norvegicus (Norway rat). RNAcentral's name for it is "long non-coding RNA NONRATT015515". Lineage: Eukaryota; Metazoa; Chordata; Mammalia; Rodentia; Muridae. The record is from RNAcentral.